CUCGUAGGCGGCCAACUCAGUCGGAUGUGAAAUCCCCAGGCUUAACCUGGGAACUGCAUCCGAUACUGGUUGGCUUGAAAUCGGGAGAGGGAAGCGGAAUUCCGGGUGUAGCGGUGAAAUGCGUAGAUAUCCGGAGGAACACCGGUGGCGAAGGCGGCUUCCUGGACCGACACUGACGCUGAGGCGCGAAAGUGGGAGGGCAAACG
Molecule: ribosomal RNA, 206 nt
Filed under: uncultured bacterium
Lineage: Bacteria
Description: partial 16S ribosomal RNA
Rfam family: Bacterial small subunit ribosomal RNA
Source: RNAcentral